GAUAGCCUUUGUUGCCUUCGCGCAUCGAUGAGCCUUGGGUGCCCAACACCCUGUCGCUGGUUUACCCCUCCUUGGACUACUGUCAGUGAUCCCUCUUCCAGGAGUCCAUUGGUGGUGUUGCCAUUGACGGUGUGUUGUUUGGAGGUGCACGGGGAGAACAACGUGGUCUGUGUCCUCCAGCCUGUUCACUGCCACCUCGAAGCUUCACAGAAAGGAGAGAGAGGACAGCAGGACAUUUGGCCUGUU
Lampris incognitus (smalleye Pacific opah) is the source of this 246-nucleotide long non-coding RNA. RefSeq lists it as uncharacterized. NCBI's taxonomy places the organism in Eukaryota, Metazoa, Chordata, Actinopteri, Lampriformes, Lampridae. The record is from RefSeq and is a predicted model, not a curated record. The transcript has 3 exons.